RNAcentral lists this ribosomal RNA (738 nucleotides) under Amphidromus contrarius. RNAcentral describes it as "partial 16S ribosomal RNA". Lineage: Eukaryota; Metazoa; Mollusca; Gastropoda; Stylommatophora; Camaenidae. The record is from RNAcentral.
CACGAAAUAAGUUGAGCUAACUGCUUACAAAUUUAGUUAAUUAUACUUGUGUGUAGCAGAACACUUCCUAGAUAGGUAGUUAGGGGUGAUAGGCCAAGCAAAACUUGUGAUAGCUUGAUCUUGGGUAAAUGUAUUUAGUAUUAAAACAGAUAAGGAUUGAUAAGGCUCUUUAUAAAAAUUAACUAUUUUAAUUAAGGUCUUAUAGCUUUAACCGGCAUUAUAUUAUAAUUUUAAUAUACAAAUAUGUGUGUUUAUUUAAAAGACCUAAGGGGGUUAACCAUACACUAAUCAUAAUGUUAACAUGAGUAGAUUAAAUAGGUCAAUAAAAUGAACUCGGCAAAUAAACCUUUCGACUGUUUACCAAAAACAUAGCUGUGUGAGAUAACACAUAGUUUUUUCUGCUCAAUGAGUUUUAAAUAGCCGCAGUACCCUGACUGUGCAAAGGUAGCAUAAUCAGUUGGCUUAUAAUUGAAGUCUGGAAUGAACGAAUGAACGGAGGGUAGCUGUGUCUUAUUGAGAUUUUGAACUUGCUAAGUAAGUGAAAAUGCUUACGCGAAAAUAAUAGACGAGAAGACCCUAGAAAUUUAAAUUGGCUUUUGUUGGGGCGACAUAAUAGCAAAUUAACCUAUUAAAUGUACAAGUGCUUAAUUAAGGGUAUGAAUAAUUACUCUAGGGAUAACAGCAUAAUUUAUUAAAGAUUGUGACCUCGAUGUUGGACUAGGAAAUUUGAGUCCAGAA